RNAcentral lists this transfer RNA (77 nucleotides) under Sphingomonas kaistensis. Its description in RNAcentral is "tRNA-Arg". It matches the Rfam family "tRNA". Rfam says of the family: Transfer RNA (tRNA) molecules are approximately 80 nucleotides in length. Lineage: Bacteria; Pseudomonadati; Pseudomonadota; Alphaproteobacteria; Sphingomonadales; Sphingomonadaceae. RNAcentral also lists the same sequence under 6 other names. The record is from RNAcentral.
GGCCCCGUAGCUCAGCAGGAUAGAGCGCCAGAUUCCUAAUCUGUAGGCCACUGGUUCGAAUCCAGUCGGGGUCACCA